Molecule: ribosomal RNA, 253 nt
Filed under: uncultured bacterium
Lineage: Bacteria
Description: partial 16S ribosomal RNA
Rfam family: Bacterial small subunit ribosomal RNA
Source: RNAcentral
UACGUAGGGCGCAAGCGUUGUCCGGAAUUAUUGGGCGUAAAGAGCUCGUAGGCGGUCUGUCGCGUCUGCCGUGAAAACCCGAGGCUUAACCUCGGGCUGGCGGUGGAUACGGGCAGACUAGAGGUAGGUAGGGGAGAAUGGAAUUCCCGGUGUAGCGGUGAAAUGCGCAGAUAUCGGGAGGAACACCAGUGGCGAAGGCGGCGACCUGGGCCAAUACUGACGCUGAGGUGCGAAAGCGUGGGGAGCAAACAGG